UAUAUUUGCCCCGCUUAAUAAUAAGCAUACAUAACAAUUAUUAAAUAAUAUUAGCAUG
Molecule: non-coding RNA, 58 nt
Submitted as: unclassified sequences
Source: Rfam